RNAcentral lists this transfer RNA (76 nucleotides) under Bacillota bacterium. RNAcentral describes it as "tRNA-Thr". It matches the Rfam family "tRNA". Rfam says of the family: Transfer RNA (tRNA) molecules are approximately 80 nucleotides in length. Their secondary structure includes four short double-helical elements and three loops (D, anti-codon, and T loops). Further hydrogen bonds mediate the characteristic L-shaped molecular structure. tRNAs have two regions of fundamental functional importance: the anti-codon, which is responsible for specific mRNA codon recognition, and the 3' end, to which the tRNAs corresponding amino acid is attached (by aminoacyl-tRNA synthetases). tRNAs cope with the degeneracy of the genetic code in two manners: having more than one tRNA (with a specific anti-codon) for a particular amino acid; and 'wobble' base-pairing, i.e. permitting non-standard base-pairing at the 3rd anti-codon position. The record is from RNAcentral. Lineage: Bacteria; Bacillati; Bacillota.
GCCCUCGUAGCUCAAUUGGUGGAGCAGGCGAUUUGUAAUCGCCAGGUUACCCGUUCAAAUCGGGUCGGGGGCUCCA